This 432-nucleotide ribosomal RNA is filed under the name uncultured bacterium. Its description in RNAcentral is "partial 16S ribosomal RNA". It matches the Rfam family "Bacterial small subunit ribosomal RNA", at positions 29 to 506 of the family's 1533-position model. The record is from RNAcentral.
AACGAACGCUGGCGGCAGGCCUAACACAUGCAAGUCGAGCGAGGACUUCGGUUCUAGCGGCGGACGGGUGAGUAACGCGUGGGAAUGUGCCCUUCUCUACGGAAUAGCCCUGGGAAACUGGGAGUAAUACCGUAUACGCCCUUUUGGGGAAAGAUUUAUCGGAGAAGGAUCAGCCCGCGUUGGAUUAGGUAGUUGGUGGGGUAAUGGCCUACCAAGCCGACGAUCCAUAGCUGGUUUGAGAGGAUGAUCAGCCACACUGGGACUGAGACACGGCCCAGACCCCUAGGGGGGGCAGGAGGGGGGAAUCUUAAACAAGGGGGGAAACCCUGAUCUGGCCAUGCCGCGUGAGGGAUGAAGGCUUUAGGGUUGUAAAGCUUUUUCCGCUGGAAAGAUAAUGGCGGUACCAGCAGAAGAAGCCCCGGCUAACCCCGU